RNAcentral lists this small RNA (1180 nucleotides) under Pongo abelii (Sumatran orangutan). Its description in RNAcentral is "processed transcript". Lineage: Eukaryota; Metazoa; Chordata; Mammalia; Primates; Hominidae. The record is from RNAcentral.
GGCAGCGAGCUGUGGUUCCGGUUCCGUCGCGAAGACACGUGAAGGUCGGUGCGGAGUUCGUCUCUGCAAGCGUGGUCGCCCUGGGAUGGAUUCCUCCUCCUCUUCCUCCGCGGCGGGUUUGGGUGCAGUGGACCCGCAGUUGCAGCAUUUCAUCGAGGUAGAGACUCAAAAGCAGCGCUUCCAGCAGCUGGUGCACCAGAUGACUGAACUUUGUUGGGUUCCUGUGGCCUAGCCGGAUGGGAGAAGGGUGACUCCGCUUCUCUGGGGACUCAUUCCGGACCUCGGCUUUGUUGGUGCAGAGGACUGGGUAUCAAAGAAGACUUAUGCCACUGGACACCCAGCACUUUCAGGCACCCGAGGUUGAAGCUGCCUAGUGCUGGUCACCAAGACUGAUCGGAGCUCCCAGUACUGGGAUUUUAUUUUUGGCAGCCCGAGUCCCAGAGAGUCAGUGAAUCAGUGAAUCUGCUAUUCCUGGACUCCUCGGGAUUUACCUUCAUUACCCAGUUCUAACCCUCUCCGCUGAGAAAUGAGUGGCUCCAGCCCACUAACUAUAAAAGUGGUGUAAUCUCUUCCAACGUACAUACUUAUUUGCUUUCUUGUUGGAUUGUUGUGUAAUACCAAGCCGUUUCGGGUCUGAAGGUUGAGGAAUUGAGCCUGCCCUGUGAGGGGACUUUGGCAAAAGGGUGGAAGGCAUUUGCAGCUUGCCAACAACGUGUUCUGCUUGCCAAGGACAGAUCUCCCUUAAUGUACACAAUUCACAGAAUUCAGAGGCCAAGGAUAAUUUUCCUUGGAAUUAGAGGGUCUGAGGCUUGUGUACAUGGCAGAGAAUAAUGAACGAAAUUUUUGAACUACUUAACUUUAACUAUAUACAGUCAUUGGUUUCCAUAGGCCCUUUCCCAUAAACUUACAGUAUUGCUGGACUAUGACACCUACCAGAUGCUUACUUAACUCUGGUCUGCCUUGAACCAGAGUGCUUUGAUUCUUUUUAAAAAAUAUCUGUGAUUCGUUACUUUGGUGCCAGGAGGACGUGUAGUUAAGUACUAUUGCAAGAAUCUGUAAGCUGCCGGGCGCAGUGGCUCAUGCCUGUAAUCCCAGCACUUUGGGAGGCGGGUGGAUCACUUGAGGUCAGGAGUUCGAGACCAGUCUGGGCAACACGGCGAAGCCCUGUCUCUACUAAAAA